This 73-nucleotide transfer RNA is filed under the name Ovis aries (sheep). It matches the Rfam family "tRNA". From Rfam's summary of the family: Transfer RNA (tRNA) molecules are approximately 80 nucleotides in length. Their secondary structure includes four short double-helical elements and three loops (D, anti-codon, and T loops). Further hydrogen bonds mediate the characteristic L-shaped molecular structure. tRNAs have two regions of fundamental functional importance: the anti-codon, which is responsible for specific mRNA codon recognition, and the 3' end, to which the tRNAs corresponding amino acid is attached (by aminoacyl-tRNA synthetases). tRNAs cope with the degeneracy of the genetic code in two manners: having more than one tRNA (with a specific anti-codon) for a particular amino acid; and 'wobble' base-pairing, i.e. permitting non-standard base-pairing at the 3rd anti-codon position. The record is from Rfam by way of RNAcentral. Lineage: Eukaryota; Metazoa; Chordata; Mammalia; Artiodactyla; Bovidae.
UCCCUGGUGGCUCAGAUGGUAAAAGCAUCUGCCUACAAUACGGGAGACCCAGGUUCGAUCCCUGGGUGGGGAA